Molecule: ribosomal RNA, 1341 nt
Filed under: uncultured bacterium
Lineage: Bacteria
Description: 16S ribosomal RNA
Rfam family: Bacterial small subunit ribosomal RNA
Source: RNAcentral
UUAGAGUUUGAUCCUGGCUCAGGAUGACUUUUGGCGGCGUGCUUAACACAUGCAAGUCGAACGAACCUUCGGGUUAGUGGCGGACGGGUGAGUAACGCGUGGGAAUCUGCCCUCAGGAGGGGGAUAACGGUUGGAAACGACCGCUAAUACCCCAUAUGCCGAGAGGUGAAACGAAAUUCGCCAGAGGAUGAGCCCGCGUCUGAUUAGCUAGUUGGUGGGGUAAAGGCCUACCAAGGCAUCGAUCAGUAGCUGGUCUGAGAGGAUGAUCAGCCACACUGGGACUGAGACACGGCCCAGACUCCUACGGGAGGCAGCAGUGAGGAAUUUUCCGCAAUGGGCGCAAGCCUGACGGAGCAACGCCGCGUGAGGGAUGAAGGCCUCUGGGCUGUAAACCUCUUUUCUCAAGGAAGAAGAACUGACGGUACUUGAGGAAUAAGCCACGGCUAAUUCCGUGCCAGCAGCCGCGGUAAUACGGGAGUGGCAAGCGUUAUCCGGAAUUAUUGGGCGUAAAGCGUCCGCAGGCGGCCUUGAAAGUCCGUCGUUAAAGCGUGGAGCUUAACUCCAUUUCGGCGGUGGAAACUACAAGGCUUGAGUGUGGUAGGGGCAGAGGGAAUUCCCGGUGUAGCGGUGAAAUGCGUAGAUAUCGGGAAGAACACCAGUGGCGAAGGCGCUCUGCUGGGCCAUAACUGACGCUCAUGGACGAAAGCUAGGGGAGCGAAAGGGAUUAGAUACCCCUGUAGUCCUAGCCGUAAACGAUGAACACUAGGUGUCGGGGGAAUCGACCCCCUCGGUGUCGUAGCUAACGCGUUAAGUGUUCCGCCUGGGGAGUACGCACGCAAGUGUGAAACUCAAAGGAAUUGACGGGGGCCCGCACAAGCGGUGGAGUAUGUGGUUUAAUUCGAUGCAACGCGAAGAACCUUACAGGGUUUGACAUCCUGCGAAUCCCUUGGAAACUUGGGAGUGCCUUCGGGAGCGCAGAGACAGGUGGUGCAUGGCUGUCGUCAGCCCGCGUCGUGAGAUGUUGGGUUAAGUCCCGCAACGAGCGCAACCCACGUCUUUAGUUGCCAGCAUUUAGUUGGGCACUCUAGAGAGACCGCCGGUGAUAAACCGGAGGAGGGUGUGGAUGACGUCAAGUCAUCAUGCCCCUUACAUCUUGGGCUACACACGUACUACAAUGCUACGGACAAAGGGUUGCAAACUCGCGAGAGCUAGCUAAUCCCAUAAACCGUGGCUCAGUUCUGAUCGUAGGCUGCAACUCGCCUACGUGAAGGAGGAAUCGCUAGUAAUCGCAGGUCAGCAUACUGCGGUGAAUACGUUCCCGGGCCUUGCACUCAACGCCCG